RNAcentral lists this transfer RNA (103 nucleotides) under Pyronema domesticum. Its description in RNAcentral is "tRNA-Phe". It matches the Rfam family "tRNA". Rfam says of the family: Transfer RNA (tRNA) molecules are approximately 80 nucleotides in length. Their secondary structure includes four short double-helical elements and three loops (D, anti-codon, and T loops). Lineage: Eukaryota; Fungi; Ascomycota; Pezizomycetes; Pezizales; Pyronemataceae. The record is from RNAcentral.
GCGCUAAUAGCUCAGUUGGGAGAGCGUCAGACUGAAGUCAUAUUUGGUCCAUUCCACAUCCGGGGUAAUCUGAAGGUCACCCGUUCAAUCCGGGUUUGGCGCA